This 888-nucleotide ribosomal RNA is filed under the name uncultured Methanosaeta sp. RNAcentral's name for it is "bacterial SSU rRNA". It matches the Rfam family "Archaeal small subunit ribosomal RNA", at positions 18 to 907 of the family's 1478-position model. The record is from RNAcentral. Lineage: Archaea; Methanobacteriati; Methanobacteriota; Methanomicrobia; Methanotrichales; Methanotrichaceae.
CAGAGGUACUGCUAUCUGRGAUUCGACUAAGCCAUGCGAGUUGAAUGUUCUUCGUGAACAUGGCGGACUGCUCAGUAACACGUGGACAACCUACCCUUGGGUCCGGCAUAAUCCUGGGAAACUGGGAAUAAUUCCGGAUAGGUCACCGAUGCUGGAAUGCGCGGUGGCCGAAAGCUCCGGCGCCCGAGGAUGGGUCUGCGGCCUAUCAGGGUUGUAGUGGGUGUAACGUACCUACUAGCCUACGACGGGUACGGGUUGUGAGAGCAAGAGCCCGGAGAUGGAUUCUGAGACACGAAUCCAGGCCCUACGGGGUGCAGCAGGCGCGAAAACUUUACAAUGCGGGAAACCGUGAUAAGGGGAUCUCGAGUGCCAGCAUAUAAUGUUGGCUGUCCAGAUGCCUAAAAAGCAUCUGUUAGCAAGGGCCGGGCAAGACCGGUGCCAGCCGCCGCGGUAACACCGGCGGCCCGAGUGGUAACCGCUAUUAUUGGGUCUAAAGGGUCUGUAGCCGGCCAGGUAAGUCCCUUGGGAAAUCUGGCAGCUCAACUGUCAGGCUGCUAGGGGAUACUGUUUGGCUUGGGACCGGGAGAGGUGAGAGGUACCUUGGGGGUAGGGGUGAAAUCUUGUGAUCCUCGAGGGACCACCAGUGGCGAAGGCGUCUCACCAGAACGGGUCCGACGGUAAGGGACGAAAGCUAGGGGCACGAACCGGAUUAGAUACCCGGGUAGUCCUAGCCGUAAACGAUGCUCGCUAGGUGUCAGUCACGGUGCGACCGUGAUUGGUGCCGUAGGGAAGCCGUGAAGCGAGCCACCUGGGAAGUAUGGCCGCAAGGCUGAAACUUAAAGGAAUUGGCGGGSRRSCACUACAACGGGUGGAGCCUGCGGUUUAAUG